UACCCCAUUUUUGCUUCGCCAGUUGGAUUUGUGUCUUUAUUGGUCAUUCAAAUGUGGCAAAGGAAAUAAUCCUUUUAAAAUGUAGGCAUACUGAGUGUUUGUCUUGCAUCUGGUUGAAGGAAGCAAAC
Small nucleolar RNA from Nycticebus coucang (slow loris), 128 nucleotides. RefSeq annotates it as small nucleolar RNA SNORA27. The record is from RefSeq and is a predicted model, not a curated record. Lineage: Eukaryota; Metazoa; Chordata; Mammalia; Primates; Lorisidae. The transcript has a single exon.